GGUGCACCAUGUCUUAAUUGGAUUAGAAUUAAAUUAAGUUUGACUCAAGCACCAAGAGAGAGUCCAAAAAGAUUAGGACUCCUCUAAUUAGGUGACAUCUAAUUUAAAUAGUUUGAACUCCAAAUUAGAUUUGAAUUUUUAUCUAUUUGGAUCUAAUCAAUUGCUAAUAUGAUUAGGAUUGGUUGGGAUUUAAAUUGGUUUAAAUCAGCCACCUAAAAG
RNAcentral lists this long non-coding RNA (219 nucleotides) under Elaeis guineensis (African oil palm). RNAcentral describes it as "long non-coding RNA (EGUI_LNC037375)". Lineage: Eukaryota; Viridiplantae; Streptophyta; Magnoliopsida; Arecales; Arecaceae. The record is from RNAcentral.